RNAcentral lists this unclassified non-coding RNA (343 nucleotides) under soil metagenome. RNAcentral's name for it is "partial contains 5.8S ribosomal RNA, internal transcribed spacer 2, and large subunit ribosomal RNA". The stretch from base 3 to 120 matches the Rfam family "5.8S ribosomal RNA", at positions 37 to 154 of the family's 154-position model. The record is from RNAcentral.
GGUGAAGAACGCAGCGAAAUGCGAUACGUAAUGUGAAUUGCAGAAUUCAGUGAAUCAUCGAGUCUUUGAACGCACAUUGCGCCCUCUGGUAUUCCGGAGGGCAUGCCUGUCCGAGCGUCAUUGCUACCCUCAAGCACGGCUUGUGUGUUGGGCCCCGUCCUCCUUCCGGGGGACGGGUCCGAAAGGCAGCGGCGGCACCGCGUCCGGUCCUCAAGCGUAUGGGGCUUUGUCACUCGCUUUGUAGGCCUGGCCGGCGCUUGCCGAUCAACCAAACUUUUUAUCAGGUUGACCUCGGAUCAGGUAGGGAUACCCGCUGAACUUAAGCAUAUCAAUAAGCGGAGGA